Molecule: long non-coding RNA, 751 nt
Filed under: Daphnia pulicaria
Lineage: Eukaryota; Metazoa; Arthropoda; Branchiopoda; Diplostraca; Daphniidae
Description: uncharacterized LOC124350616, transcript variant X1
Source: RNAcentral
UAUGCUCGUGACUGGUACGAUUUCAUUGACCUAAUUUGAGAUUUGCGUUGUAUGCCAUUUUCUACAUUUUAUUUCUUGCAUGACUUGGUUUUUUACCCUCAUGUGAACAACUCGCAUUUCACCAGCGACGAUUUUAACCACAAGAGGGCCCUGUCACCCAAUUGUCGCCGUAUCCAAUGGAAGCAACACGACAGUCGAUUACAUUGCACCGCAAAACGCCGAAAGACCCAAUCGCCAAUCGCUUGGCAAUUUUCAAUUUUGUUAAAACGAAAUUUUUCUAAAAGAACAAAGAAGGAAUGGGCGCAAAAAAAUCCAUGAUGGCCGACCAUUUGCUUACCAGUCCUCCUUUUCUUAACAAAUGUUUGUCAGUCGCCAUGGAGAUGGAGUGUGGUCGAGUUCUGCUGAUUGAAUUGUGUCGGACUUUAUGUUCCUGUCAUCUUCCAUUAUUAGAAGCCAGUUGAAGAGCAAAGCAGGGAAGAGUACAUGCUCGUACGUCUUCUCAACUGUCCAACCGUGUCAUAAAAUAUUUGCAAACUUCUCUCUGCGAUCAAUGAAACGGAAAGUUUCACCAGUUCAGUUCACCAGAUCUUGGUGACUGGGACGGAUGAAAUCCCUAACCAAUUUCCCCCCCUUCUGACAACAGAUGUCAACACGUUGGAGCACAACAGGUGUCAAAAUACCAAAAGCGUCCAGCUGAUUGAUGAAUUUACCUCGAUGUUUUAUCAAAUGUGAUUUUAUAUUGCCAAAUCGA